Molecule: long non-coding RNA, 251 nt
Organism: Brassica oleracea var. oleracea
Lineage: Eukaryota; Viridiplantae; Streptophyta; Magnoliopsida; Brassicales; Brassicaceae
Exons: 4
Source: RefSeq, a predicted model, not a curated record
UUUAAGCAGAAAUGAGGAUACAGAAGAAUUAAUGCUAUCAAAAGACUUUUCAUCUGGCUACUGUGAAAUUUACUAAAGGAAAUAUUUCUGUGAGACUUUCGUAAAGGAGCAUCUUAAGGAACCAAUAUAUUGCUACUUGCUGUUAGAAAAUCUAUGGGACAAUGCUGCAGAUGCAGAAGAAGACACUUUAUGUUGCUAAGGCUGAAAAGUGCAAAGUUGGCUAUGAGAAGAACAUGAGAGAUUACAACAGA